RNAcentral lists this ribosomal RNA (208 nucleotides) under uncultured bacterium. RNAcentral describes it as "partial 16S ribosomal RNA". It matches the Rfam family "Bacterial small subunit ribosomal RNA", at positions 568 to 775 of the family's 1533-position model. The record is from RNAcentral.
CGCGUAGGCGGGGAGGUAAGUCGGGUGUGAAAUCCCUCGGCCCAACCGAGGAACUGCGCCCGAGACUGCUUCUCUUGAGUCCCGGAGAGGAAGAUGGAAUUCCCGGUGUAGCGGUGAAAUGUGUGGAGAUCGGGAGGAACACCGGUGGCGAAGGCGGUCUUCUGGACGGUGACUGACGCUGAGGCGCGAAAGCGUGGGGAGCAAAACG